Molecule: long non-coding RNA, 3212 nt
Organism: Apodemus sylvaticus (European woodmouse)
Lineage: Eukaryota; Metazoa; Chordata; Mammalia; Rodentia; Muridae
Exons: 3
Source: RefSeq, a predicted model, not a curated record
AGGAGAGAUCAGCUCAAAGCUCACUUUUCUCUCGAGCUGGGCGUGGCCCUGUGACCAGGCUCUGGCUGAUUAGAGUGUUCUGUGGGACUUCCAGGAAGGCUUCUUAGGCCGAGGGGGCUGGGGGGUGGGCUGAGGUUAUCUUUGCUGCUGUUUCUCUACACUGACUGUAGUACAGAUAGAAGAGCAGGCAGCUCUCGGUGUAAUCCUGCUGGAUUGUGAGGAAUUUUCAGAUAAACCCUAUGUUAUGCUUGUGGCCAAAGGGAACUUUUAUUCAAGUAUCUGUUAUGUAUGGGGCACAGCUAACGACGGUGGUGUGAUCCUAAGGGAGAAAGGAAAGAAGAGCCCGACUUUGAACCGAUGAGGGCUCAGGGUGCUGUGCAGAAGAGGAGGCAGAAGCUUGGAAGAGCCAGAGGUGAUGGAGGACACCAAGGAAAACAGGUCUGCCAGACACUACAGGAUGGCUGCGCAUCUGAGUUCACAGAGACUGGCGCACGCACAGGGCCUGCGUGGCUCUGAGUGAGUCAGGGUCCCAGCACUGGGAGACGGAAGUGGACUUAAGGCCAUACCCCUAACCAGGAAGCUGCCUAAAACUGAUAGCCUUUUACCUCCAACUGAGUCUUACUGGGUGUGUUAAGCACACCCAAGUAAUAGAUGGCCAACACAAAACAUGCUCAGUGUAUGUUUAUUUUUUUUUUGUGGACUCUCUGUGUCAUAUUGUUUUCAUGGGUCUUUUUUGUUGUUGUUGUUGUUGGCUUUUUUGCUUGUACAUAAUGCUUUCUGAUGUUGUGGUGUUUGCGUGCGUUUCUUGUGUUUUUAAUCUGUGUUUUAAUGUUUUGUUUUAUGGUGAGGUAGGGAGGAGAGGAGGAGAGCGCCACUGGAAGACAUUACAUAAAAAUUCUUUGUCAACAGUGAAGAAAGACUGAGAAUUUUUGAUCAUUGUUUUUCCUUUGUGGCUCUACAUGGAUUCCACGGCAAGAUUAAACGUCUUGGCCAAGGUCACAGAAUAGGUGGUAGACACUAAACAGGAAUGCUGAUGGGCUGUUCAUGUCCUGAGGUAUGUUAUUUUUAGUCGUGGGACAGGCUUGAAAAUUCAUCUCUUUGCAUCACUCAGCAUCCUUCCGCCUGCUUUCCCUCCCUCCCCUCCAAAUCUCUCUGUGCUCUCACUCACCGCCCAACUUAUUUGUACUUAGCUAAUUAAAAUGGUAAUGGUUGCUGUAAUAAAUACCCUGAUGGGACAUGGCUUGACCGCUAUCCAAUUGUGGGCGUUUGUCUUGUGCUAUUUGUUUGUGGCUGGUAGAAAGUCUACAGCGGAUGUCUGAAUGGACAGGGCUCUCUGCUCCAGGAGGUGACCUUGAAUCCUAGCUUCAUUUGUUCUGUUGCUCCUGGGUCUUCAACUUCUGCCUUCCCAUGUUGCCCCGGGGCAUCAGAGCGCCUUGUCAUAAGAACACAACACGGAGGAAGACCGCUGAGUUCAAGUGGACCGCGGAGCACCUACUCUGGAAGUGAGCUCUGUUCCAAUUACCUUGCCUGGAACUCUGUCUCGUGGGGGGCCACACCUCACUACACAGUGGUUGGCUGCUUCUCCAGGAAGAAGAAAUGGGCUUGUUGUUUAACCAGACUCCCUGCCUUGGGCACUUUCUCCAGCUUUGGUGUCUGCGGCUCUCUUUGGCCUUUAGAUGGUUGUAAGGGAAUUCCUUGUCCAGCCCCUGCUGUACAAAGGAGUCUUAGACUUCGCCCUGCUUCUCUGAGACGCCUGUUCCAGGCUCUGUGGGAGCCUCGGAGCCCCAAGCCUUCUCCUGUCCAUUGAUAUAGCUUCUCCGGCACCUUGCUUCCCUGUCUCCUAGCUGCAGUCACUACACUGCACUAGAUAGAACUGAGGCCUCAGGGCGCUACAGCCCCCUCCCCGUGCCCCAGGGCCUCUCCCUUUCAGCAGCACCUGAAACAGCAGCUCUGGACCUGACUCCAGCACUCUGUAUACUUAAUUCAUCCUGAAUUUUGCUGUCCUUUCUGCCCCUCCCACCGAAACCCUUGCCCAAGUACUGAUCAUCAAUGCCUCUAUCUUUCCAAUCCCCAAUUAUCCCAAACAGGCUUUGGGCUGAGCUUUCCCUUUGCUGGAAAGCUGGCCCUCAAGUUUCUGCUCAUCGGCUCGGAACUUCUCCAUUUCUUUUCUCUUAGCCGCUCUCUCCAUGACUCCGCGCGUGCGCGCACGUGCAGGGCCCUUUCCUACAGAUAGCGUGAACGACAGGCAUUGCCGGCGCCAUUUCACCUGUAAGUAAAAACAUCUGAAGCGCACAGUGACUUUCAGGCCACAGAACAUACACAGGACAGACUCAGUGCUAGACAAGCAAAAGCCCACCAAGCGUUCAAGUUUCUUCAAGCUCUCUCCAUUUUUUUCAACUCUAUUGCUUGUUUCUACCGAGUCUGUUUCCGCGCAAUUCCCAGUCUCUUACCUCUGUUGCUGUGUCUGGACAAAAACACUGAGUCUCUACCUGUUAAGCUUGACACCACCUGGAGGGGAACACCCCUUGAAGAAGUGUAUGCAGAAUGGCUGAAACUUUGAAAUAAUGAAAAGUUGUUUUGUUUUGUUUUUUUUAAAUUAUCAUCACUUCUAGUGGGGGAAGGGGUAGUGCUAGGGACUCCAACCUAGAGCUUUGGCUGUGCUGGACAAGGGGUCUACCACUGUUACAUGUCCAUUUACCCAAAGAUAUAUGGACUGCUUUAAAAAAAAAAAAGAAUUAAUUUUUUUCGUCACCAAUGGAGUCAGCAAUAUUUUUAGAUCCAGUCUGUUAAAAGUUUGUGCUCUGACUUGUGAACCACAUGAUGGACCACCGAAGGGGACUCGGUUAAGAAGACUUGAUGUGAUGUAUGGGGCUGGAGCGAUGGCUCAGCAGUUAAGAGCACUGACUGUUCUUCCAGAGGUCCUGAGUUCAAUUCCCAGCAGCCACAUGGUGGCUCACAACCAUCUGCAGUGGGAUCUGAUGCCCUCUUCGGGUGUGUCUGAAGACAGUGACAAUGUACUCAGAUACAUUAAAAAAAAUCUUAAGGUAACCCAGACUCAAAAGAUGAAUCAUGGUAUGCACUCACUAAUAAGUGGAUAUUAACCUAGAAAACUGGAAUACCCAAAACAUAACCUACACAUCAAAUGAGGUACAAGAAGAAAGGAAGAGUGGCCCCUUGUUCUGGAAAGACUCAGUGAAGCAGUAUUCAGCAAA